Non-coding RNA from Ictidomys tridecemlineatus (thirteen-lined ground squirrel), 432 nucleotides. Lineage: Eukaryota; Metazoa; Chordata; Mammalia; Rodentia; Sciuridae. The record is from RefSeq and is a predicted model, not a curated record.
AGGGCUGGGUUCUAUUUAGAAUUACUUGCAGACUUCUUGAUAGUAAUUGGGAGAAAUUAGAAGAUGGUAAUGCACUCCUGGAGUGGAACAGUGAAAAAGGAUAUCAAAAUCUACCCUCAGAGGAGCUGGCUUGUUUAUGCGAAAAGCAUGGUGGAGCAAGAUGGCAAUCCCAGCCAUUAGAGCAUCUAAGGUAGGAGGAUCACAAAAUCAGCAUUAGCAACUUAGCAAGGUGUUGAGCAACUUGGAGAAAGAUCCUGUCUAAAAAAAGAAAAACAAUACAAAUGGGAAGUGGCAAAUACUAUUUAAGAAAACAAAAUUAUAAAAACAUCCCUCCACCAGUUCAGUUUUGUGGUGUUGUUACACAUUGAGAAGUCCAUUGAUUCUCCAAAUUCUCCUUUGGGACAAUAAACAAGUAUUUUAACAAAAGUGGUU